GUGCUUGCACUUAAAGGGAACCGGCGAACGGGUGCGUAACACGUAUGCAACCUACCUAUAACUGGGGGAUAGCCCGAAGAAAUUCGGAUUAAUACCCUAUAAUAUUUACUCAUCGCAUGAUGUAGUAUCUUAAAACUCCGGUGGUUAUAGAUGGGCAUGCGGUCUAUUAGUUUGUUGGUAAGGUAACGGCUUACCAAGACUACGAUAGAUAGGGGGUCUGAGAGGAUGAUCCCCCACACUGGUACUGAGACACGGACCAGACUCCUACGGGAGGCAGCAGUAGGGAAUAUUGGACAAUGGACGAAAGUCUGAUCCAGCCAUGCCGCGUGCAGGAAGACGGCCCUAUGGGUUGUAAACUGCUUUUGUAUAGGAAGAAACCUUUCCACGUGUGGAAAGCUGACGGUACUAUAAGAAUAAGGACCGGCUAACUCCGUGCCAGCAGCCGCGGUAAUACGGAGGGUCCAAGCGUUGUCCGGAUUUAUUGGGUUUAAAGGGUACGUAGGCGGGACUUUAAGUCAGUGGUGAAAGCCUCCAGCUCAACUGGAGAAUUGCCAUUGAAACUGAAGUUCUUGAAUAUGGAUG
Molecule: ribosomal RNA, 582 nt
Filed under: uncultured Bacteroidota bacterium
Lineage: Bacteria; Pseudomonadati; Bacteroidota
Description: bacterial SSU rRNA
Rfam family: Bacterial small subunit ribosomal RNA
Source: RNAcentral